This 253-nucleotide ribosomal RNA is filed under the name uncultured bacterium. RNAcentral's name for it is "partial 16S ribosomal RNA". It matches the Rfam family "Bacterial small subunit ribosomal RNA", at positions 524 to 776 of the family's 1533-position model. The record is from RNAcentral.
UACGUAGGUGGCAAGCGUUGUCCGGAUUUACUGGGUGUAAAGGGCGUGCAGCCGGGCUGACAAGUCAGAUGUGAAAUCCCGCGGCUCAACCGCGGAACUGCAUUUGAAACUGUUAGUCUUGAGUAUCGGAGAGGUCAUCGGAAUUCCUUGUGUAGCGGUGAAAUGCGUAGAUAUAAGGAAGAACACCAGUGGCGAAGGCGGAUGACUGGACGGCAACUGACGGUGAGGCGCGAAAGCGCGGGGAGCAAACAGG